Molecule: RNA transcript, 2278 nt
Organism: Olea europaea var. sylvestris
Lineage: Eukaryota; Viridiplantae; Streptophyta; Magnoliopsida; Lamiales; Oleaceae
Gene name: K(+) efflux antiporter 5
Exons: 20
Source: RefSeq, a predicted model, not a curated record
CAGCCAUGGACUAAUACUAAUGAAUUUCAAUCCCGCGCCCGAUAACAUCAAAUCAACAAACUCAAAGACUCCCUUUGCUCUCGAUCUACGAUACCCACGCACCCCCCCCCCACACCACGCCACCCUCUACCGACGCGAUAAUUACUGGAAAAUUUGGAUAAAAAAGUGCUUUUCUUUUCUUUUCCUUUCCUUUCUUUUCUUCUUUUUCCACGGCAAUGGGGAGGGUAACAAAGGAGUGUGGAGUUUUUGUAUUUGUAUUUGUUUCUGUAAUUAUUUUGUGCGCGGAAUUUGGUCGCUCUGCUAGAUCUGAGCAGGAAAUUAGGGAAAGGUUUUAUGGAAAUUUAAUUAAUUCUUCAGCUCCAGGAAAUGGAGAGGGCAGUAUUGCGAAGAUGUUUGAUCGAGUUUUGGAGAAAGAGUUUUCUGAAAAUGAUCAGCCUGAAAGUUCUGAUGGAAGCAGCUUCAACAGCACCGUAGCCGAUCAACAGGCUGUUCUAGAGACUGUGGCUAAAAUCACCCGUGAGAAGAUGAAGAAAAAUGAAACUCAAGAGGCUAAUGGCACCAGAUCUUUCCAGUUUCAAGAUGUUUUCUCUCUUGAGAAUGAAGAUUCCGAUGACACAACAACUCUGAUAGACCAGAAGGAUAACGUUUUUGUGAUGUCGAAUAAGAAAUCAAAAUAUCCAGUACUUCAAGUAGAUUUAAGGCUAAUUUCAGACUUGGUGGUUGUUAUAGUCUCUGCUGCCAUUGGCGGAAUUAUCUCUUCUUGUUUGGGACAACCGGUCAUUGUCGGCUAUCUUCUAGCAGGAUCGAUUAUCGGACCAGGUGGUUUGAAAUUCAUCAGUGAAAUGGUGCAGGUUGAAACCGUUGCUCAGUUUGGUGUCGUCUUUCUUCUAUUUGCUUUAGGACUUGAGUUCUCUCUAUCAAAGCUCAAAGUUGUGGGUCCUGUUGCUGUUCUUGGCGGGCUGCUUCAAGUAGUGAUUUUUAUGUUCUUGUGUGGCAUAAUUGCAGUGUUAUGUGGAGCAAAGUUGUCGGAAGGGAUAUUUGUUGGUUGUUUUCUCUCAAUGUCAUCAACUGCAGUGGUAGUUAAGUUUCUGGUUGAGCGGAACAAUAGUGAUGCUCUUCACGGGCAAGUGACAAUUGGAACCCUUAUUUUCCAGGAUUGUGCUGUUGGCUUGUUAUUUGCUUUGCUCCCCAUUCUGGGUGGUAACAGUGGCAUUUUCCAAGGAAUGGUUUCCAUGGGAAAAUUGCUGCUCACCUUGUCUAUAUAUCUUGCUGGGGCAGCUGUAUUGAUUUGGUCUUUUGUUCCUCAGUUUUUGAAGUUAAUGACGCAUCUUUCCUCACAAACAAAUGAACUAUAUCAGCUAGCUGCGGUGGCCUUCUGCUUGUUGUCAGCUUGGUGCAGUGAUAAACUGGGACUUAGUCUUGAAUUGGGUUCGUUUGUUGCUGGCGUUAUGAUAUCCACCACUGACUUUGCACAGCAUACCUUAGACCAGGUGGAGCCAAUUCGUAACCUCUUUGCUGCUCUAUUCCUUUCUAGUAUUGGAAUGCUGAUACAUGUACAAUUCCUGUGGACGCAUGUGGAUAUAUUGCUUGCCUCUGUUAUUCUGGUUAUAGUUGUUAAGACAACAGUUGCUGCUACGAUCACAAAGGCCUUUGGUUACAAUCUUAGGACAUCAGUUAUUGUUGGAGUGUUACUGGCGCAAAUUGGAGAAUUUGCAUUUGUCCUCUUAAGUCGUGCCUCAAAUUUACAUCUUGUCGAGUUCAGGGGAAGAUGUAUCUUCUUCUUCUUGGAACAACAGCUCUGAGUCUUGUGACUACUCCUGUUGUAUUUAAAUUGAUACCAGCUCUGAUGCACCUGGGAGUUCUUAUGCAUUGGUUUCCAUCGGAGAAUGGCACUAAUAAUGAGGAGAAAGUCUCCAUGAUUGAAGCACAUGACAGAGUCUUGUAACACUUGGUCUCCUUGCUUCCUACUAGAUUUGAAAAUUCUUGCUCUCAUUUUGCCGCGUAUUUCCAUCGAAGGCAUAUAUCCGGUGUAAUGUUAAUGCGGGGUUCAUGUUUCACCAGCUCUAGAAAUUAUUCUUGCAAUAUACAUUUUCGAGGAAUUGGAUGCCUCAAAGCAUUUAUCCAGACUAGUCUUGAGAAAACUAGGUUAGAUUUUUGGUGUACAUAAAGAGCACGACACGAUGUAUUCAACGGAAAUGUAACUAUCCAUUUUUUUUUAAUAGAAAUCGAUUCAUGCCCUACUUGGUAAAAUUAUUGGUCAAUGAGUUAUAUUUGAACA